CUCCUGUGAUCGUUUCGGCAGAAGGUAUACUAAAAUUGGACCGAUACAAAGAUUACCAUGGCUUAUGCACAAGAAUGGCACACAAAUUCUUGAAACAGAAAAAGGUGCU
Molecule: small nuclear RNA, 109 nt
Organism: Sorex araneus (European shrew)
Lineage: Eukaryota; Metazoa; Chordata; Mammalia; Eulipotyphla; Soricidae
Source: RefSeq, a predicted model, not a curated record